This 436-nucleotide long non-coding RNA is filed under the name Nicotiana benthamiana. Its description in RNAcentral is "long non-coding RNA (NBEN_LNC018609)". Lineage: Eukaryota; Viridiplantae; Streptophyta; Magnoliopsida; Solanales; Solanaceae. The record is from RNAcentral.
AAGAGUCGUAAAUAAGUCGAGUAAUGUCGUCUUGUCAUAAAUAGUCGAAUGUUCCCGAAAGGAACGCCAAAAGGCUGACUUUGCAAAAACGGCAAUUUUGGUAAAUUUUAAUUUUUGACCGGUUAACUAACGCAGCCUUAAAAUCUUCACCCCCGGGGUGCUGAAAGGCCGUGUUUGUAAAACUAGGUCUUUUAUUUUAAUCUAAAAAAAAGAGUCAGUCGUCAAGUGAAUACCAUUCGGUUUUUUGUCAAAAUAAGCCGGCCCAGCCUCAAAAUUCAUGUAAAAUUAGGAAGGGGUCAUUUUUUCAAAAACAACCAUUUGGUUGAAAUUGGCAAGUAGUGGAAGGAAUUUGUCAGUUCUAUUUUUAUCAUGAAAAUGGAAAAUUCCAAAAAAAAAGUCUUAUUAUCGUUUAUCUUUUAUUUGCACGAACUACGAC